Molecule: ribosomal RNA, 207 nt
Filed under: uncultured bacterium
Lineage: Bacteria
Description: partial 16S ribosomal RNA
Rfam family: Bacterial small subunit ribosomal RNA
Source: RNAcentral
CGUUCAGGCGGUUUGGCAAGUCGGGCAUGAAAUCUCUCGGCUCAACCGGGAGAGGUUGUCCGAUACUGCUGGACUUGAGGGCAGUAGAGGGUGGUGGAAUUCCGGGUGUAGUGGUGAAAUGCGUAGAUAUCCGGAGGAACACCAGUGGCGAAAGCGGCCACCUGGACUGCACCUGACGCUGACACGCGAAAGCUAGGGGAGCGAACG